Molecule: ribosomal RNA, 494 nt
Filed under: uncultured bacterium
Lineage: Bacteria
Description: partial 16S ribosomal RNA
Rfam family: Bacterial small subunit ribosomal RNA
Source: RNAcentral
GACGAACGCUGGCGGCGUGCUUAACACAUGCAAGUCGAACGGUGAAGCGCCUUCCUUUUUGGUGGGUGUGGAUGAGUGGCGAACUGGUGCGUAACACGUGAGUAACCUGCCCCCUUCUUCUGGAUAACCGCAGGAAAGUGUGGCUAAUACGGGAUAUUCUGGGUCUGUCGCAUGAUGGGUCUGGGCAAGAUAUUGUUUCGGUGGGGGAUGGGCUCGCGGCCUAUCAGCUUGUUGGUGGUGUGAUGGCCUACCAAGGCGGGGACGGGUAGCCGGCCUGAGAGGGUCGGCGGCCCCAGUGGUGAGGCGCCGCCGAGCAGACUACUGCGGGCGGCAGUAGGGAGGAUUAUAGAACGGUGGGAGCCAUGCUGAUGCAGCGCCGCGGCGGGGGAGAUGGAGGCCUUCGGGUUGUCAACCUCUUUCGGGGGUGAAGCCGGCUGGCCUAGUAUGUGGGUGGGUUGACGGUAGCUGGAUAAGAAGCGCCGGCUAACUACGUG